RNAcentral lists this long non-coding RNA (521 nucleotides) under Ursus maritimus (polar bear). RNAcentral's name for it is "lncRNA (ENSUMAG00000012621.1)". The record is from RNAcentral. Lineage: Eukaryota; Metazoa; Chordata; Mammalia; Carnivora; Ursidae.
CCCAUCCUCUCCCAGGCUCCAGGAUGGUGGUCUUGAGGAUCGCUGGGGUCCCAGGGAUGGCAGCUCUCGUGAUGUCCUUGGUGAUGCUGAGCUCCCCUCUGGUUCAGAGCAGAGACACUCCAGGUCCAAGAUAUGUGCUCCUAGGAAACUGAAGAUACAGAGACCAAGGAAAGGCCCUGGAGUCAAAAAGAAGGCACCAGAAAUGUCUAACACACACAGGAGGUGGUCUUCCCAGCAAAUGGUGUUGCCCCCAGAGGAGGAUCAGUGAGAAGUCAAAGGAUACCCUAAGGAGAUGUCAUUUCACUCUCCAGCUCUCCACAGUGCUCUGAACUCCUAAGACAGUGAGGCCCAGGAACAAGAUGAUGAAAGUUGAAGGUGGUAGGAGUUGGGCACAAUAUGUGAAGCUCCUCUUAAAGGGGCACCAGUAACCCUUCAAUACUAGCCCAGUGGAUACUUACCUUAGUUGCCAGAUUAUAAACAUCUAACAUUCAUUAAUUAUUUCCUUGUUCCUGAAAUUUCUG